GUGGGGAAUAUUGGACAAUGGGGGGAACCCUGAUCCAGCCAUGCCGCGUGUGUGAAGAAGGCCUUUUGGUUGUAAAGCACUUAAAGCGAGGAGGAGGCUACCGAGAUUAAUACUCUUGGAUAGUGGACGUUACUCGCAGAAUAAGCACCGGCUAACUCUGUGCCAGCAGCCGCGGUAAUACAGAGGGUGCAAGCGUUAAUCGGAUUUACUGGGCGUAAAGCGCGCGUAGGUGGCCAAUUAAGUCAAAUGUGAAAUCCCCGAGCUUAACUUGGGAAUUGCAUUCGAUACUGGUUGGCUAGAGUAUGGGAGAGGAUGGUAGAAUUCCAGGUGUAGCGGUGAAAUGCGUAGAGAUCUGGAGGAAUACCGAUGGCGAAGGCAGCCAUCUGGCCUAAUACUGACACUGAGGUGCGAAAGCAUGGGGAGCAAACAGGAUUAGAUACCCGUGUAGUCC
This 451-nucleotide ribosomal RNA is filed under the name uncultured bacterium. Its description in RNAcentral is "partial 16S ribosomal RNA". It matches the Rfam family "Bacterial small subunit ribosomal RNA", at positions 354 to 796 of the family's 1533-position model. The record is from RNAcentral.